UACAGAGGGUGCGAGCGUUGUCCGGAAUCACUGGGCGUAAAGGGCGCGUAGGUGGCGCCCCAAGUCAGUGGUGAAAGCUCGAUGCUCAACAUCGAGUCGGCCACUGAGACUGGGGGGCUCGAGCACUGUAGAGGCAGAUGGAAUUCCGGGUGUAGCGGUGGAAUGCGUGGAGAUCCGGAAGAACACCGGUGGCGAAGGCGGUCUGCUGGGCAGUAGCUGACACUGAGGCGCGACAGCGUGGGGAGCAAACAGG
This 253-nucleotide ribosomal RNA is filed under the name uncultured bacterium. Its description in RNAcentral is "partial 16S ribosomal RNA". It matches the Rfam family "Bacterial small subunit ribosomal RNA", at positions 524 to 776 of the family's 1533-position model. The record is from RNAcentral.